CUACCGGAACAAAGGCCUACUUAUAGAUUUUACGGGUACAUAAUAAUACAGGGUGAUUCACGGAGCCUGUUCGAUAGAAAAAUGUUUAUUUCCCGAAAUCUUAGUAAUAUGAAAUUUGGUAGGCACCAUAAUCGGUUGCUACAAGUCUAAAUAUAGUACAUAUUCGCAAAAUGACGGCACUUCCGCAUCUUCGAUUUUUUAAAUGGAAAGUUCCCAGUUCGAUUCCAUAUUUGCAUUCAGCUUUAAAUUGUGAGUUCAGAACGUCCAUGACAUUUAUUAUUUACAUUUUAAAAUAUUCUCAUUCAAUUGUUUAAUCGCCUAUAAAAGACUCUGUUGUAGUCUUUAACCAGGUCAAUCUGCCUGCCUACUCCCUAUUUAAAAGGUUUUUAAAAAGAGCUAGAAUGAAGCCAGAGGUCCGAGCUGAAGUUGUUUCUGCAUGGUGCACAAGAAUUUGAUGGUGUUUCACAAUGUAUUGAAGAAAUUUGAGCAAAGCAGAUUUAUGGAAGCUGUGUUAGUGAGUCAGUUCAAACUGAUGUACCUAACUGAAGAAUAUUCAAGUGGUGUUUUUCAGAAUUUAGAUUUUUGCAAUUCAAUAAUAUACACCUUGUAAGCAAAAGUUCAAGUGAUGGAUGUAAAUGAGAAUUAUGUUAAAAAUAAAUGCUUUAUCCCUAA
Long non-coding RNA from Dendroctonus ponderosae (mountain pine beetle), 672 nucleotides. RefSeq lists it as uncharacterized. The record is from RefSeq and is a predicted model, not a curated record. NCBI's taxonomy places the organism in Eukaryota, Metazoa, Arthropoda, Insecta, Coleoptera, Curculionidae. The transcript is spliced from 2 exons.